GAAAAACAAUAUUACUAAAUUUCUACCCUGAAAGUAUAAACUCUUCAAAGUUUUUAAAAAUCUUCUUUACUUUUAAAAAAAUGAACUUAUUUUUAAGUUCAUUUUAUUCCCUUUGCUAGGAUUGUAGACCUAGACAUGACCUGCCAUUUACUUCUUGUGCUGUGAUUUGCAAACUUGGCAUAUAUUCAUUUAAAUAUAACUCAACACCAGCUUCUUUUCAUAAAACUCUCUUUUUUAUAGAUUGUCUGUUAUCACAGCCACAAAGGCAGGACUGAACCAUGGGAGCAGAAGGGCACGCAACAACUGAUUCACAGAUGCCCUGAAGUCUAUUCAUGGAUCCCUUAGUCAUCUGUGAAUCUCAGGUUAGAAACUAUUGAUAGAUAAUUCUCUCUCUUCCUUCUCCUCCUCCUCAGUGAGUAAACAAGCAAUUUGAAAUAGUUUAUACAUGGGCAGUUUUGCAAGACGUAUUUCCAUAUUGGUCAUGUUGUGAAAGAAAAUAUGGAUCAAAAACAACUUAAAAAAUGAAGUAAAAAAAGAGUAUGCUUCGAUCUGAAUUCAGACUCCAUUCGUUCUCUCACUGGGAAGUUCCGUUUGUAAGACUAGAUUGUUGUCUCCAUGAUAUGAAUGACAAGAGCGUGUAUCUUGGAGACCUACCUCUGCAAUCUGUUGAAGUAUUUCAUUUGUAUUUGAUUGGACGUAAUUUAGCACCAUAGAUUGAAAUCAACUCCAAAUCAACCAAUUUUAAGGUUGCUUGUUGGAAGAGGGAAGAGAAGGAACUCUUCUCCAUGUCUACUACAAUUGAGCCAAGCUGUCUACGCUGAUGUAGUCUCUCCUCACCUGCAUCUCUCUGAACCCUAGUUUCUUCCAAGCAUCAUAUAUGGGACCUUCCUAAUCUCCUCUCCACUAGUGCCUCUCCCCACAUAGGAAAAAGUAGUACUGUGUAGCAGAAUGAAUUCUGGUAUUGAAAAAGAAGUGAAGGCAGUGAGGUUCUGGUUUUAUCUCUGUCAAUAAAUAGCUUUAUGACUUUCUUCCUUCA
This 1036-nucleotide long non-coding RNA is filed under the name Monodelphis domestica (gray short-tailed opossum). Its description in RNAcentral is "lncRNA (ENSMODG00000038729.1)". Lineage: Eukaryota; Metazoa; Chordata; Mammalia; Didelphimorphia; Didelphidae. The record is from RNAcentral.